This 257-nucleotide ribosomal RNA is filed under the name Salmonella enterica subsp. enterica serovar Singapore. RNAcentral describes it as "partial 23S ribosomal RNA". It matches the Rfam family "Bacterial large subunit ribosomal RNA", at positions 1084 to 1258 of the family's 2925-position model. The record is from RNAcentral. Lineage: Bacteria; Pseudomonadati; Pseudomonadota; Gammaproteobacteria; Enterobacterales; Enterobacteriaceae.
CCCAGACAGCCAGGAUGUUGGCUUAGAAGCAGCCAUCAUUUAAAGAAAGCGUAAUAGCUCACUGGUCGAGUCGGCCUGCGCGGAAGAUGUAACGGGGCUAAACCAUGCACCGAAGCUGCGGCAGCGAACGUAUCACUUAAAGCGAUUCAGCGGGUUACGAUUGACGGAGCGAAGCGACGUCAAAGCGUAUACAAAGUCGAGUCGGUUUAAGGAUACGUUCGUUGGGUAGGGGAGCGUUCUGUAAGCCUGUGAAGGUG